CCAAUAGCGUAUAUUAAAGUUGUUGCAGUUAAAAAGCUCGUAGUUGAAUUUCGGAAUCAAUAUAUCGGUCGUGCCUCUGGUACGCACUUAUUUAUUGAUUUCUCACUUCUGACGAAUCAUAAUGUCAUUAGUUUGGUGUUAUGAGGAAUCAGGACUGUUACUUUGAAAAAAUUAGAGUGUUUAAAGCAGGCUCGCGCUUGAAUACAUUAGCAUGGAAUAAUGAAAUAGGAUGUUUGAUCUUAUUUUGUUGGUUUCUAGGAUCGACAUAAUGAUUAAUAGGGAUAGUUGGGGGCAUUAGUAUUCAAUUGUCAGAGGUGAAAUUCUUGGAUUUAUUAAAGACUAACUACUGCGAAAGCAUUUGCCAAGGAUGUUUUCAUUAAUCAAGAACGAAAAUUAGGGGAUCGAAGGCGAUCAGAUACCGUCGUAGUCUUAACCAUAAACUAUGCUGACUAGGGAUCAGAUGAUGUUAUUUUUUAAUAACUCAUUCGGCGCCUUACG
RNAcentral lists this unclassified non-coding RNA (498 nucleotides) under uncultured Glomus. RNAcentral's name for it is "SSU rRNA". It matches the Rfam family "Eukaryotic small subunit ribosomal RNA", at positions 591 to 1092 of the family's 1831-position model. The record is from RNAcentral. Lineage: Eukaryota; Fungi; Glomeromycota; Glomeromycetes; Glomerales; Glomeraceae.